GUGGCGCACGGGUGAGUAACGCGUGGGUAAUCUGCCCUGGACAUGGGAAUUUCACCUCGAAAGGGGUGCUAAUACUCGAUAAGAUCCCCUCCGGAAAAGGUGCGCUUCAGGAUGAGCCCGCGUACCAUUAGCUAGUUGGUGGGGUAAUGGCCCACCAAGGCAAUGAUGGUUAGCUGGUCUGAGAGGAUGGUCUUCCACACUGGAACUGAGAUACGGUCCAGACUCCUACGGGAGGCAGCAGUGAGGAAUCUUGCGCAAUGGGGGAAACCCUGACGCAGCAACGCCGCGUGAGUGAUGAAGGCCUUCGGGUCGUAAAGCUCUGUCAGAUGGGAAGAACGACGGUACCGUCAGAGGAAGCACCGGCUAACUCCGUGCCAGCAGCCGCGGUAAUACGGAGGGUGCAAGCGUUGUUCGGAAUUAUUGGGCGUAAAGAGCGUGUA
Molecule: ribosomal RNA, 440 nt
Filed under: uncultured soil bacterium
Lineage: Bacteria
Description: bacterial SSU rRNA
Rfam family: Bacterial small subunit ribosomal RNA
Source: RNAcentral